ACAGCAAAUACAGAAUUUAAAUCACCUUCUUUCAAACUAUAUCCUUUGAUCUGCAAAUGUGAAUUGGCAUGAUGCCAGAUCAUUGCACUGUUUUUAGUCUUUAUUCAUGCCAAAAUGUUUGAAAAAUAUUCCUCCAUGCAAUAGUUCCAGUCAUCACAAUUUGGCUUUUUCAGCACCAAGUUCCUUUCUCCUACUAGGAGUCAAAAUUACAAUCGUAAAAAUUUGGAAUCCUUUUUAAACAAAUUCUACAUAAAAGAAAACAAUUCACAUAAAAUACACUUACAAAAGCUUUGAUUCAACUCGUGACGGCCCAGGUGGUUGUAAAUUAGUGUCUGUUUUCUUCUUCGGUUGGUUAGCCUUGCUCGCUGUCUGUGAAACAUUCUGCGAAGCAGCAUUAACGGAGGACUUCGCAGUUCCAUUUGACUUAACUGCAGAACUGCUCACACAUUUUUGUUGUGCCGUUGGCACUGGGUUUGUUGAAUGAUGGGCAUUCUCUGCUGGGAAGGCUGGCGGUUUGACAGGUGUUUGAUGCGGGGGAGCCUUCCCAACAGGUGGCACUUUCUGCGCUGAUGUUGUGGGCUUUGAUACAAAAGUACAUUGAUCAGCGGGAAUCACAUUUGCAAGACGUUGUACAGGAGGAACAAAAUCUUUUUGAUUUGAAGGUAUUGGAGGAGGUCCGAAUUGAGGCGAAAACUGAUAGGGAGGUGCAAAUUGAGGUGCGAACUGAUUGGGAGGUGCAAACUGAUUGGAAGGUGCAAAUUGACCCAACUUAUUUAUACUUGAGGAACUGGAGUGAUCCUCGAAAGAUGGUGUUUUGCUCGGCAAAGGAGGAGGGUUUAAAUUUGCAGGGUUUGGUGUUUUGCUCGGUAAUGGAGGAGGGUUUAAAGUCGCAGGGUUGCUCUUCAGUUUGGCGUCAAAUACUUCCAGCAAUUUUUCAGCUCCCCGCUUUCUGGUAUUUUGCACAGAGUUUUCGACAACAUUCUUGCUUGCAUUCGAUGGGAUUGGAGGCGGUACAUUCAUUGUUUCAGAUUGGGGCUUUGAGUUCUUCCCACUGUUUGAUGGAGGCAGAAAAGAUGGUGGUUUGCUGGAGGCUGGUGGUAAAUUUUGAUUUGCAUGAUUAACAGGUGGCUUUCCACUACUUUUUUCAGGCACGUUUUCGACAAGGCGCUUAGCAAUUUGUUGCAUGGCUUCUUCGAAGGCUUUCUUAUCGUCAAGAAUUGAAGGCUGUGCAUUCGGAGUUCCAGAUUGUACCUUUGAAACAUUGUUUGAUGAACUUUUGUGAAUUAUUUCUAUAUCCGAGACUGAGGCGAUGCCUUGAGGUAAGAGAGAAGUAGGAUUGGUGACUAGUUUUUCACUCAAGGUUUCGAUAAGGGUUUGCUUCACAGUAUCUUCCAGAAGUUUCCUAUCAAGUUUUGCUGGAGUUGAAGGGUCUACACUAUUAGUUUCUACAACAGUUAAAGCAUCAUCUACUUGGGUAAGGGAAUAAUCUCCUACAUGUUGGAUAGAAGCUUUCUUCAGCGUCUCGGAAGAUGAAGCACUGCCAGUUUUUUCUAACUCGGUUUUGGCAAUCGUGUGUUCAUUCACAUCACAUCGAGAGCGUGAUGAGUUGCCAGAGGCACUCGGGUGGCUACUGAUGUUGGUUUGUACUGUGCUUACCGGUGUUUCGAUUUUUGAUUCUGGGAUUAUGUCACCACUAACCUUCCCUGAACUUAUUGUACCAUGAGAGAUUUCAGAAGUUGAUAAUUUUGGUUGAGCAUUUUGUGAACUACUACCACAGGAUAUCACGGGAGUUUUUGGCUCAUGAACUUGGCCUUGAACGGCUUGCCUAGAGUUUUCAUCACUUUUCUUCGAAGUAGUGUAAUUUUGACUGUUCUCUUCCCUUUCAGAUACUUCUCCUUCAGCUGAAAUCAUAAAAUAAUAUAUACGCAUAAAAAAUGUUUAGUUCCGGCAGAAUGUUUCGUGAUAGUGAUAAUCUUUCUUCAUUUUAAAUGAUUUUAUUGGUUUUGUCUCUUUUCACUCAAAGUGUUUUCUAUUUUGCAGAUACUGAUGAUGAGUUUGGGGCUGUACUAUUGAAAUAGCCUUAGCAAGAUGCAUCUAUGGACAAACUUUUUUUUCUUCCUUUUUUUCACUUCAUUUUUUUGUUUUAUUAAGGCAUAUUAGCAAGGAUUACUGAAAAAUCUUACAUACUUUCAAAAUAAGAAAUUUGUAUACAUCCAAUAUGAUUGGUAACAAUUUUAGGAGAAAGUUAAACUUUAACUUGGCUGAGCUAAUCAGACACCAUUUUAUUGACUUUAGAAAACACUUACAUUGAGAAACCACAGAAUUUGAGCGGGAGGGUCUAGUGCUGAUCCUGCCAUCGGAGGAGGCUCCCGUAUUCUCCCUAUCUGCAGUAAGAAUAAAAUGUAAACGUCAUUAGAAUAAUAUCUUACUCAUAAUACUAUGCUACUAAUAAUAUAAGAUCAAAGCUUAAGCUGUCCAACUGGUAAUGUGUUUAAAAAUGCAGUGGAGGCUCCAGGAAAGGUGAGACAUAAAGUUUAGUAUUCAAAGAGAAGUUGGUAGAAAAAUUAAGCUUCACUCAUGAUAUUAACUGAUCUCAACUGGUGCGGGAAAUUUUAAUCAUUUGAUCCAAGCUCCAAUUCAAUCAAUUUCUGCAAAAAUAUUAAACUUCCAUUACAUUUUCUACAAAUGCUGUGGUUUGUUUAGCCCGACAAUAUUGCUGUUAGGUUCUAGCAAACAAACUCGACAAAUUUGAUCUUAAAUUUUAAUGUCUCGGACCAACUUCAUCUUAGAUGUUAUGAUUAAAUUGAUCCAUGCUAAUUCUGAUACACUGUAUUAUACAGCAGAUGAUUUUGCAAAAACCGAUUCAAAAUGGGUUUGCAAAAAAGACAGGGUUCCCAAAGAAUUUAGAAAAUUAUUUCCUUGACAAGUUUUGGUAAAAUUUCCUUACAAUUGAAGAUAUCGUCACCUUCCCGGCAAAGUAUCACAAGCGCCAUGCGACGUUUAAAAAUUUCGGUCGCCGUUUUAUUUUUUUACAAAGAAAUUGUUGGUUGAAUCUGGUUGAAAAUUUCACUGAAUUUUAUCGUCAGCACGAAGAUAAUUCAGUGAAAUUUUUGGACAGCUUCGUUCAACAGUUUCUCUGUUAGAAAAUAAAAUGGCGGCAGAAAUUUUUAAACGUCGCAUGGCGCUUGUGAUACUUUGCCGGGAAGGUGACGAUAUGUCGGAUGAUUAAUAAGACAUAAUUUGAAAUAGUUUUUAGGCAAAACUUGUUGUUUGUAACGUCUAAUUCAUUCUACGAAGAAAAUGACAGCGACUUGACAAUUUUCUCCUGACACACUCAUCAUUUUCCCUGACAUUUCCAGGUUAUCCCAGAAUUUUUGAAAUUCUCUAACAUUUUCUGGUUUUCCCCUCACUGUGGCAACCCUGAGGAAGAACAACUUUUCAUUUCACUUUAGAAGAAGUUUGCGACAGAUCCAAUAAGUUUUUUUGUCUAAGGAAGGUUGUAAAUACAUACCAGAUUCAUUAGAGCAAACUGAUUGAUCACUUCGCGGAUCACUCCGAUUUUGAUUCCGCUGUUGUGCUAAAAUCUGAGUGGUUAGAUCCGACAGAGACAGGUUGGUAUCCCUCGCUUGAAGUAAGACUUUCAGGAGGAACUGAUGAUUUUGCCUCUGGAAUUCGUUUGCAGCUGCUUUCAAGAGACUUACGAAAACUUGGUGUAUAGUUGAAACUUUCAAAUUUAAUUCUGGGUCUGGCUCGAAAUCCAACGCCAGCAAGUCUCUCACAUCUUCGACACUGACUGCACCUGAUUCUGACAACUGAGACUUGAGUUUGGCAAGCUUCAGCUGUAAUCGAAACAAAAUAACAAACGUUAAUCCGAAGAGAAAGACAGGACAAUAUGUCUACUGCACUUCAUAUGGGUGAAUUUCUUAAACCACUUAUUUUCUUAGUGGUGUUUAAAAAUCUCUACUCCUAUUAAAGUUUUGUUAAGGAGAACAAAUUGACAUCAUUCUUCGAAGUUUUUUCAGAAUUUCCUACCAAUAGAGAAGAAAAAUAACGAAAGUUCUUUAAAAUUGACAUUGAGUAGCUGUCAAUUAAAAAAAUGAAGUAUGACAAGAGGUGCACAAUGUUCCAAACCGAGAAGUUUUAAGUCAUUGCCUUACAAUAAUUUCUUAGCCUCCCGCACCUAGCUUCAAUAUUUAAUUUUCCUAAGAUGAGUAACUUUAGAUGCAUUUG
RNAcentral lists this long non-coding RNA (4230 nucleotides) under Bemisia tabaci. RNAcentral's name for it is "lncRNA ENSSSA1UGG004228". The record is from RNAcentral. Lineage: Eukaryota; Metazoa; Arthropoda; Insecta; Hemiptera; Aleyrodidae.